RNAcentral lists this long non-coding RNA (329 nucleotides) under Homo sapiens (human). Its description in RNAcentral is "HSALNT0202982". Lineage: Eukaryota; Metazoa; Chordata; Mammalia; Primates; Hominidae. The record is from RNAcentral.
CACCUUAGAUAUUGCUGGCCAGCUCAUGAAUUGUGGCUUGUGGUCCAGCUAAUCUUUCCUAGUCUAUUCAGCUAUGGCCAGAGAAGAUGUGCUUAACUUGUGGAGCCUUACUGUUUCUCUAAGGACAUUCUUCUACAUAAUGUUGCGUCAGUAGAAUAAUUUUCUCACCAAGUGAUAGGUAGGUCAGUAAAUCCUCUCCUACACCGUAGUUAUUUGCUUUAAGCCAACUUGAAGUGAACUUCUGUCUCUUCUUUAAUCUGAGAAUCUUACGUCUUCAAGCCCUGUUCACACCGCUUGUCCCAUUAGAAUAAACCUUAUUUAAGGUAAGU